Molecule: ribosomal RNA, 130 nt
Filed under: Nevskiaceae bacterium
Lineage: Bacteria; Pseudomonadati; Pseudomonadota; Gammaproteobacteria; Nevskiales; Nevskiaceae
Description: Sinobacteraceae bacterium partial 23S ribosomal RNA
Rfam family: Bacterial large subunit ribosomal RNA
Source: RNAcentral
AGACUUCGCGGAGGUUUAACCUCCCUAAAGAGCCCAUGUAGACCACAUGGUUGAUAGGCGCGGUGUGUAAGUGUGGUAACACAUUCAGCUAACGCGUACUAAUUGCUCGUGAGGCUUAAUCAUAUAACGC